GGUUUGGGGUGAUUUCCCCUCCUUGGACCCCAGGUUUGGUUUGGGGUGAUUUCCCCUCCUUGGACCCCAGGUUUGGUUUGGGGUGAUUUCCCCUCCUUGGAGCCCAGGUUUGGGGUGAUUUCCCCUCCUUGGAGCCCAGGUUUGGGGUGAUUUCCCCUCCUUGGAGCCCAGGUUUGGUUUGGGGUGAUUUCCUCUCCUUGGAGCCCAGGUUUGGGGUGAUCCCCCCUCCAUUCCCAGUCCUGCCCCCCAAGCCUGGUUUUCCCCCAUAUCGUGCCCGUGUUCAGCUCGCAGAGCAAAUCCCUCCUUUUAUUCGACCCCAAAUUUGGAUUUUCCAGCGCCAGGAAGGUGCUGGGGAGAGGCUGAGGAGCUCUGAGCCACUUGGAGCCUCACCCCAACGCCUUCGUGACAACGUCUGCACCCUGUUUUGAUGUUGUGGGACCAACUGAAAUUCCACUCUCAUUAAACUCAGGUUACAGCUGA
Haemorhous mexicanus (house finch) is the source of this 480-nucleotide long non-coding RNA. RefSeq lists it as uncharacterized. NCBI's taxonomy places the organism in Eukaryota, Metazoa, Chordata, Aves, Passeriformes, Fringillidae. The record is from RefSeq and is a predicted model, not a curated record. The transcript has 2 exons.